AGGAUCGGAAACCCUUGAGGUGUAAAAUGAGAAGCCCGAUCGCUGGUACACUUAAACACAAACAGGACCAGGCUUUUCGAGACUGCAAUAAUACACCCAGAAUUGAGAGAGCGGCAGUUUGAUUCUAACAACUCUCCAUGUGCCUUCUCAAUCGAACGGCGUCUGAAUGCGGAGCCUUCACUCCAAGGAAUGGUCAAUCCUCAGUUCGUAUUCUUCAAGACCACCAGCAAUCAAUACCAAUUUACAGCCCUUUUUACACUCCCUUUAAAGCAGCCGUAUUUAUGGAGACAGGAAUCAAGUGCCGGAGUAAAUCGUUUCCAAGUCCAUUACUGCACCGAGGCGGGAGAUGCUCUGGGUGAAGUCUGACACAUCAAACGUCUCACCCCAGGGAGGCGACCAUCGGGGAAGGGAAAUGCUGCUUGGAUUUCAUCUCGAUCCUCCUCCCCAUCGCAUGGAAUAAAGGUAAAUAAGCUGUCACGAUUAGAUGGUGGAUAAAAAACGACAGACUG
Chlorocebus sabaeus (green monkey) is the source of this 509-nucleotide non-coding RNA. Lineage: Eukaryota; Metazoa; Chordata; Mammalia; Primates; Cercopithecidae. The record is from RefSeq and is a predicted model, not a curated record.